UCCGUAGGCGGACUAAUAAGUCAGGGGCGAAAUACCACAGCUCAACUGUGGAACUGCCUUUGAUACUGUUAGUCUUGAAUUAUAUGGAAGUAGAUAGAAUGUGUAGUGUAGCGGUGAAAUGCUUAGAGAUUACACAGAAUACCGAUUGCGAAGGCAGUCUACUACGUAUAUAUUGACGCUAAUGGACGAAAGCGUGGGGAGCGAACAGGAUUAGAUACCCUGGUAGUCC
Molecule: ribosomal RNA, 229 nt
Filed under: uncultured bacterium
Lineage: Bacteria
Description: partial 16S ribosomal RNA
Rfam family: Bacterial small subunit ribosomal RNA
Source: RNAcentral